RNAcentral lists this small RNA (2710 nucleotides) under Pongo abelii (Sumatran orangutan). RNAcentral's name for it is "processed transcript". Lineage: Eukaryota; Metazoa; Chordata; Mammalia; Primates; Hominidae. The record is from RNAcentral.
GAGCGGUGUGGAGCGGAGAGAACACUCGGAGGGCUCUCCUGAUACUAACAGUUUUACCAUUUAAAACCUCGCCAGAAUUUCGACAGGGUCUCACUGUAUUGCCCAGGUUGGUCUCGAACUCCUGGCUUCAAGCGAUCCUCCCACUUCAGCCUCCCAAAGUGCUGGGAUUACAGGCGUGAGCCACCACGCCUGGCCUCACUCAAACAGUAGACGAGGAAAGUCCACACUUCUUUGAAGUGCCACUUGAAUUUCCUGAAGGAAUGUUUGCUUCAAGAAGCCUUGUCUGCUUUAUCACUUUGAGGUUGUUCACUAAGUCAACUGCAAAGGCCCAUAAACUUGGAGAUUCGACAACUUCCAAAAAAAUUUAAAGAAUGAAGAAUUGGCUGUUUUAUUUACCAUUUAGAAUUUUGAUUGUGUUAAAAUUUCAUUAAUAUUUCUACAUCAUAUGAACUACUGGAUUAAACUGUGUCCCACAAGAAGGAAUUCAUAGGGCGAUCAUAUAUUAUCAUAAAUUUUGCACAGAAAUCAAGCACUUGGGAAUAAGGAAGGGUGUCCCUAACAUUGGUAAUGAGCAUAGACUUUGGAGUCAUAGCUGGGUUUGAAUUCCUAUUUUGUCACUGUAUGGGCUGUUUUCCUCUUUACUAAUAUUUAAAGGAGCUGGCACAUGAUUUUUUUUUUUUUGGUGCCAUGGCUCUGGUAUGAACUGUGCACAUAAUUUUGGUAAUCAAAAUUUCUGGGAAGAAAAUUCACCUAUAACUCCACUACCUCAACAAAUCAAAUUGUUUGGUUUUUAGAGAUUUUCCUUCAGCCCUUGACCAUGAGUAUCUAUCAUGUAAAUGUAAUGACAUUUUUGGAAAAAGUCAAAUUUUAAAACAUUGGUGUCUUCUGGGGUUUUGAUUAUAUAAAUGAAGCUGUCUGGUUUUGCCUUUAAUAGUUCAAAUAAUAAUUAUUUAUAGUUUUUGAGGACUUCUUUUGUGCCCCUGUGGUUGCCAGUACUGCACAUUAUCUCAUUUGAUCUUCACACUGCCUCUUUCAUCUAAGUACUAUUAUUCCAUUUUGUAAUUAAGAAAACCAAGGAAAAAAUUAGCCGGGGGCUGGGUGCAGUGGCUCACGCCUAUAGUCCCAGCACUUUGGGAGGCCAAGGGGGGUGGAUCACUUGAGGUCAGGAGUUUGAGACCAACCUGGCCAACAUGGUGAAACCCCGUCUCUACUAAAAAUACAAAGAAAUUAGCUGGGCAUGGUGGCGGGCACCUGUAAUCCCAGCUUCUCGGGAGGCUUGAGGCAGGAGAAUCAUUUGAACCUGGGAGGCGGAGGUUACAGUGAGCUGAGUUCGCGCCAUUGCACUCCAGCCUGGGCGACAGAGUGAGACUCCAUCUCAGAAACAAAACAAAAAAACAAAGAAAACCAAGGGCAUAGAGAGAGAGAAACACCAAGUCAGAAGCUGGAGCAGUCGUUCAGGUCUAGGCAGUCUGACCUUAGAGGAUAGUGCUAUAUUGGGUUCUAUAUUUGUAGAUUUGCUUUAUGAAUGUUAGGUCAUAUUUGUAUAUUGGAGUUGAUCCUGGAGGCUGACUUAUAACUUUCUUUGUAUAAAAGUAACAAUAUUUACAGUUUUUUGUUUGUUUGUUUUUUGAGAUAGGAUCUCUCUCUUAUCCAGGCUGGAGUGCAGUGGCACAAUCACGGCUCACUGCAUCCUUGACCUCCCAGUCUCAAGUGAUCCUCCCACCUCAGCCUUCCAAGUAGCUGAGACUAUAGGCACACAUCACCAUACCUAACUAAUUUUUGUAUUUUUUGUAUGAACAAGGUCUCGAUAUGUUGCCUAGGCUGGUCUCUGAACCGUUGGGCUCAAGCAGUCCUCUCCUGCCUGAACCUCCUGAAGGGCUGGGAUUAUAGGCAUGAGCCACCAUACCUGACUACAGUGUAUUUUGAAGUACUGUAUAAAGGUACUUUAUAACUAUUUUUUUUCUUUUAUUUUGUUUUUAUCUUUUUUUUUUUUUUUUGAGACAGGGACUUGCUGUGUUGCCCAGGCUGGAGUAUAGUGGCACUAUCAUGGCUUACUGCAAACUUGAACUCCUGGGCUCAAGCGAUCCUCCCACCUCAGUCUCCCAGAUAACUGAGACUGCAGGCACACACUGCCACACCCAGCUACUUUAUAGUGAACACCAGAGUCAUCUGGCAAAUCUGUUAAAACAUAAAUUCCUGCAGGAGGCUUUCAGAGAUUCUGGUCUAGUGGGUCUAGGUUGGAGCCUGAAUUUGUACUUUUAGCAAGCUCCCAGGUAAUGCUAAUGAUUCCCAGCUAAUGAGUUUAAUAUAGUAAGGAAACAAACACUUGUUGUCCAUAUCGUUGGCUUGAUAGUUAUACCCCAGUAGCACUGAGCAUUCAGAUCUUGGUUUUUAAAGGAACUAGGACUUUUUAGAGAAGUGGCUGAUUUCAGUGCGGGGGCAGAGAAAAUACAAGAUGAGCCUGAAACAUCUUGUGGUGCUUAAAAGUAAGGAAAUGCUAGAAAAAGUUAGGGACCUUGUCAAAAGGACCCAAGAGCCAACUUGAAGGAGUUCCUGGUAUCCAGGUUGGAACAAUUCGAGCAAUAAAAUGAAUAAUGAUAGUAUUGGACUUUAACCCAUAAAAUAAAAUGAGUUCAUACUGAUAUUGCUGAGUGAAUAAAUAAGUAGAGGAGAAGGGACAACUCUUUCUAACAGAAGAAUUCCGUUUAAU